Molecule: ribosomal RNA, 420 nt
Filed under: uncultured Methanosarcina sp.
Lineage: Archaea; Methanobacteriati; Methanobacteriota; Methanomicrobia; Methanosarcinales; Methanosarcinaceae
Description: partial 16S rRNA
Rfam family: Archaeal small subunit ribosomal RNA
Source: RNAcentral
CCUACGGGGCGAGCUGGGGCGAAAACUUUACAAUGCGGGAAACCGUGAUAAGGGGACACCGAGUGUCAGCAUCAUAUGCUGGCUGUCCAGGUGUGUAAAAUACACCUGUUAGCAAGGGCCGGGCAAGACCGGUGCCAGCCGCCGCGGUAACACCGGCGGCCCGAGUGGUGAUCGUGAUUAUUGGGUCUAAAGGGUCCGUAGCCGGUUUGGUCAGUCCUCCGGGAAAUCUGAUAGSCUCAACUAUUAGGCUAUAGGGGGAUACUGCCAGGCUUGGAACCGGGGAGAGGUAAGAAGGACUWCAGGGGUAGGAGUGAAAUCUUGUAAUCCCUGUGGGACCACCUGUGGCGAAGGCGUCUUACCAGAACGGGUUCSARGGUGARGGACSAAARSUKGGGGSMMRAAMCSGAUUARAUWCCCSGG